CCCUUGCAAAAUUCCUUGCUCCGCUGCCAAUUGGAUAUGAUACACACAUUCAGAUCAUUGACUUAUCUGAAGUUGAGCUAUAACAUAUCUUCAUGCCUCAAGGCUAGUACUUUUUUUUUUUUUUUUUUGGGUUUUAAGGAUCCUCUUGUCAGCGGAUACACAAUAGUAGAGUUAUGGGCUAAUUAACAGAAGGGACCUGCCUAGCAUAUGUAGUUCCUAGGUUAUCUGCUUCAGAUUCCUCAUGAGCAUACGUUGAAGAAGCUAUGAGGAUAGAGGGAGUGCCAAAAACUUCUUGUUUCGAUCCUUCUUGCGCCAGCCUGUCAACAAGACUAUUCUGCUCCCUGAAGGUGUGUUGGAGCCCCCAACUUCUGCAACAAUGACCUGCACUCAACAAUUAAGAAGUUAGUAUAUAAUGGUUGGUCAUUUAUUGUAUAAAUAACAACAAGUAUUCUGAAAUGAUUUCAAUCCUACCAAACACAUCCUUAAUUCGAUCGUGGUAACAUGUUCUGUUCAAUCAAUUUAUAAUAACCAAACAGAUUUAGAAUUGCUAGGAAAUUUUAGGGUAACUAACAAGUUCUUCUACUUGUAACUUUUACCAAGGUCAACCAUCUUUGCUCAUGAAAAGUCAAUCAAUAGCCUCAUGAAACAUGCCAAAUGGCUUUUAUAAAUCAUUGUCCAAUAGCAAUUCUAGAGCUUACUCAAC
Molecule: long non-coding RNA, 703 nt
Filed under: Solanum tuberosum (potato)
Lineage: Eukaryota; Viridiplantae; Streptophyta; Magnoliopsida; Solanales; Solanaceae
Description: long non-coding RNA (STUB_LNC002458)
Source: RNAcentral